AGGAACUUAGGUUAGAAAAAGACCAAGGACCUUCAAAGCCCUAAGCGGGGGUGACAAUCCCCCAGUCCCUG
This 71-nucleotide transfer RNA is filed under the name Parachaenichthys charcoti. Its description in RNAcentral is "tRNA-Trp". It matches the Rfam family "tRNA". From Rfam's summary of the family: Transfer RNA (tRNA) molecules are approximately 80 nucleotides in length. Their secondary structure includes four short double-helical elements and three loops (D, anti-codon, and T loops). Further hydrogen bonds mediate the characteristic L-shaped molecular structure. tRNAs have two regions of fundamental functional importance: the anti-codon, which is responsible for specific mRNA codon recognition, and the 3' end, to which the tRNAs corresponding amino acid is attached (by aminoacyl-tRNA synthetases). tRNAs cope with the degeneracy of the genetic code in two manners: having more than one tRNA (with a specific anti-codon) for a particular amino acid; and 'wobble' base-pairing, i.e. permitting non-standard base-pairing at the 3rd anti-codon position. Lineage: Eukaryota; Metazoa; Chordata; Actinopteri; Perciformes; Bathydraconidae. The record is from RNAcentral.